AAACGAUUGAAGUCAGUCAUGCUUGCAAGGAAUCAACAAAGUGGUUUUCUUCCUUGUGCACUUCCUUGCUUGGCAGGUUAGCAUCAAUUUUGAUUGUCAUUAAAGAACUGGGGGAAUGUGGCUUCUUCGGGAGUGUUAUAGACCCUGGUAGAUGUGGCGAUUGGGAUUGAGGAUUGCAGCGAAUGCUUCUUGGCUAGUCACCUGGCUUCUGAUGGUCACCUUGCUUUCGAUAGCUUGCUAACGUUGGUGAGAUUUGAUUGUCUAGAUGUUAGUGUGAUCAUAAAUUCGCUAAGGAUGCUGACGUAAUGGCUUUAAACGA
RNAcentral lists this ribosomal RNA (319 nucleotides) under Acaulospora foveata. RNAcentral's name for it is "LSU rRNA". Lineage: Eukaryota; Fungi; Glomeromycota; Glomeromycetes; Diversisporales; Acaulosporaceae. The record is from RNAcentral.